GCUCGGCUAGCUCAGUCGGUAGAGCAUGACACUCUUAAUCUCAGGAUUGCGGGUACGAGCCCCACGUUGGGCG
This is a non-coding RNA of Danio rerio (zebrafish), 73 nucleotides long. Lineage: Eukaryota; Metazoa; Chordata; Actinopteri; Cypriniformes; Danionidae. The record is from Rfam.